GGCUCAGGAUGAACGCUAGCUACAGGCUUAACACAUGCAAGUCGAGGGGCAGCAUGAAGUUUGCUUGCAAACUUUGAUGGCGACCGGCGCACGGGUGAGUAACGCGUAUCCAACCUUCCGCAUAGUAGGGAAUAGCCCGGCGAAAGUCGGAUUAAUGCCCUAUGUUUUUCCGAUGAGGACAUCUGAGCUGGAACAAAGAUUUAUCGCUAUGCGAUGGGGAUGCGUCUGAUUAGCUUGUCGGCGGGUAACGGCCCACCGAGGCAACGAUCAGUAGGGGUUCUGAGAGGAAGGUCCCCCACAUUGGUACUGAGACACGGACCAAACUCCUACGGGAGGCAGCAGUGAGGAAUAUUGGUCAAUGGGCGUAAGCCUGAACCAGCCAAGUAGCGUGCAGGAAAGACUGCCCUAUGGGUUGUAAACUGCUUUUAUGCGGGAAUAAAGUCAGGUACGCGUACCUGUUUGUAUGUACCGCAUGAAUAAGGACCGGCUAAUUCCGUGCCAGCAGCUGC
RNAcentral lists this ribosomal RNA (509 nucleotides) under uncultured bacterium. Its description in RNAcentral is "bacterial SSU rRNA". It matches the Rfam family "Bacterial small subunit ribosomal RNA", at positions 21 to 518 of the family's 1533-position model. The record is from RNAcentral.